Molecule: long non-coding RNA, 3876 nt
Organism: Lolium perenne
Lineage: Eukaryota; Viridiplantae; Streptophyta; Magnoliopsida; Poales; Poaceae
Source: RefSeq, a predicted model, not a curated record
ACUUCUUCCCCGUGAUCUUUCUCGGGAUGUGAGACCCCAACCCCUAAGCCAACACUAUUUUAUAAAUGUUCAACGUAACUUAUUUUAUUGAGAACAAGCAAGUGCGUGUGGGUGGGGCGUGCUCUGGGGCUGUCCACGAUAGCGCGUUACGCGCGUGGGUUCGCUGCUCGAUUUGUCUCCUGGCGAGAAGAAAAAGGUCCCCGCGAGGAGAAAAAGGGGCCAGCCCUAUUCACGCGAACCGCACCGCCUCCCUAUUCCCCUUCCUCUCGUCCUCCUCAGUCCUCACCCACAGGUUCUAGCCACCUCCGGAUCCGGCCGCCGCCGGCCAUCCAGGAGGUGAGGACCAGGACGUCCAGGUCAUUCCCCUCUCCCGUAAUCCCUUUUGUCUAUGGAUUAGUACACCGGAUAAACGGAGACUUCAAAGUGGAGGCGAAGGACGUGACCUAGAGCUGCCGCCAUGCCCUAGCCUACCGCCUCCGCUUCAACCCCACCAGCCCCUCAUUUUUAGUUUGUAAUCUGAUACGAAUGUUGAUGAGCACAUAGCCUUGGAGCUGAGAACAGGAGGAAUCCGGGAAGACAGAUAGAGAUGGAGUGGGGAAGAAGACAGGGUGAGGUAGGAGGAAGAGGAGGUUGUGCGGCGCCCCGUGUUUGCCUUCUUCGUCAAACAUCCACAGAUGAAGGCCACAAUUUCAUCAACUAGUAAAAGGCUCAAGGGCUUGGCAUGUUGCAGGCCAAUGUGUUUCCUUCUCUUCACUAGAUCAGGUCCAAAGGGGGAAGCCAAAUGGCAGAGAUCUUGGUACCUAUGAAUUAUCAGCAAUGCUACUAUGAAUAUAAUGGCAACCACACAAAGAAGCCUAAGCUGUAGCAUGUACUCAUCAUGAACGAAGUUAAGAGUAUGUUUGCUGGUGAUAGAGGUGGAGCUGUUGAUCUUAUUGGCAGCAUCAAGAUAUCCAAGAUCCCUAUAGUUUCAUUUAUAAUGACUGUUAUAUCCAUAAACUGAAGAGUAUUGUAAAUUUCUGAUUGUUGCUCAACUUCAUGAAACUAAUGAAGUUGCACGUUAUAGAUGUUAGUUUAGUCUUUGUCCUAUGGCAAUUAGCAUAUCAUUCUUGCUGUGAGGAGAGAACAAGCUGAAAGUUUCAGUUAAAAGUUAAUUCCAUUGUCGAUAGAAAUGCUAGAAGGAAAUAAAUGGGAGCUUUAGACUUUGUGCAUUGUUCAUUGUAUAUGUUUCAUAUACCACUCCUUCAGCUAUAUGCCCUGAUAAACGAUUAUUAACUAAUGUACUUUUUCAUUUCUAGGAUGACUUUUGAUUUUCUCUAGGAAUUGAAUCCCCAAGUUAGUUUAUAGGAUACAUUGGACAUUCUAUUUUUUCCAAUGCAUUAAAGGUUCACUUUCCAUUCUCCAGCUCCUCAAAUGUACGCAACAUAAUAAUCAAUAAAUUGUAUUUAUUUGCACAUGGAAGUAUGAUUUUAUUGUUAGCCUACCAAGUUUUUUUCAUAAUUGAUGGGAAAAGAUCUCUUUCAUGGCUAUGUGAUAUAUCUAUAUGUCUAUUUUAUUUCAUCGCAUAAUUAACUCACUAUGUUAGCACCUAUCCGAAUUUCCUUCACCAUAUCUGAUAUCUGAAACUCGUUUCUAAUAGGAGAAAGAAUGUUGGAAGUGAAUGAAGCCUCCACCAAUCAGCAGGGAGCCUUUGACUCAAGGAUCAUGAAACUGAUACGAAGAUGGCCUGACUGCUGAAGAAUAUGAAGCAAGAUUUAAUUGCUCAGUGGAGGCAACAAUACAGAAAUCGCAAGCUUUGGUGUUGUUUAUGGGGACCUCAGAACAUUGCUUCUUUAUGCAGAAGUCAGACAGCAUUCUAUGUACUUCCCUGAUAUUUUAGACCUUCUCAGGAAGGUAAACUUCUUUUUAUGCAGUAUGGUAAAUUUAAAAAAUACCAGUCUUCCACUUUUUGAGAAUUUUAUUACUUCUGCCACGUGGUUGCUUUAUUGUUUUGGUGAUCUUGUUAUGCUCACGUGGCCCUUCAGCAUGUACCUCAUACAUGACCCUCCAUCCAGGUGAGACCCCCGAUAUAUUCUUGGAUCUUUAAGAGAUGGUGCAGAGAGCAAUAUUGAUUUUCUGUUUCAUUGUUCUAUUAAUAGAAGAAAACAAGCUUUUUUGUUCAGGUUUCAGAUCUCUUGAGUUCAGUGGAACUCAUAGAAGAAUGGAAACUUUCUGUUCUAUGGUGUCCCACUGUUCCAGGUUUUAGGGAUGAUCACUAGACUUGGAAGUGUGAAUUUAUUGUUCUCGCAUGUGGGUAUGUACCUACUGACGUGUAUAAAACCACGACUUUUUUCUUUGACAAUUCUUUCCUUUCACAUUCAUAGCAAGAAUAAAUAAUUGUACCAUGACCUGCGUUGUCCAUGCCAUUUAUCUCUAUUGUGUGUUUAAGAUAAAUGGCAUUUAUCUUAAAAUUGUUCAAGAAACUAUUUUGCAACAAGUUUCAUUCAAAUUGUUAAAGAAACUAUUUUGCAACUGUAAGAAUGUAAGUUAAUAAGUUUUGGGAUGGUUUUUUGGAAACAUGGAUGAUAUAGGUGGAGAGUUUGGCACGACACACUGGCCUGGGCAGUCGCAGCCCAUACCUUUCCUUUACCAAUGUUCUUACUUCCCACGUCAAAUGUUUCUUUCCAUGUAGGAGUACAUUCCCAUUUCUCUAGGAUGCUCGAUAUUUUGGCCACCCACGAUAGGGUUCUAAGAAUUGAUAUCACAAUUACUAGGUUUCCAAGUAUUACAUUCAUAUUUUGUCUUUGAACCGUGCUAUUUUUCAGUUUAAGUUUGUUCUUGGUACAUCAUUUAUUUACAGAUUCUCCAAAUAGACGAGCAAGGCAACCGACCUGAGGAGAGACCUGCUGAUUUGGGUUUGCGGGAGCAUGUAUGUGGCUUGACUAUGAUGACCGCAAUAUGGGGAUUUCUAGGUUUCCUCUUCAUGUGUUAUUCAAAAGUCGAGUUGAUUGCAGUGUACCAUUGCAUUGGUGAUAUGUGUUUACCAAUAUAAUGUUAUAGUAGCUAAAUUUACUUGGUGCGAUGUGUUUACCAACUCAUGGUAUGCUCGGUAACUACAGGGACUUCAUGGUAGAUUUGCUCAAAAGACAAGCAAGGCAAUCGAGCUGCGGAGAGACCCGCUGAUUUGGACUUGCGGGAGUGUGUCUUGGAUGGCUUGACUAUGAUCUCCGUGUUAUAAGGAUAUCUGAAUUUCCGAUUCAUGUCUUACUCAAAGUCUAGAUGACCAAAAUCUAACUUUGUACUGGUUCGUAUGUGUUUACCAAAUCUACAGUAGGUGUGCUACAAAUUCUUCAACCAACAAUUUAGUGUACAUGUGUUUUGCUUGUAGCUUGCUCAAGGCGCUGCUGGCAUGAUAGCUCCUAUGCUCAGAUCAAACAUUCCAUUACCCAGGUGUAUGAAUCUAUAUUAUUUUAUCUUUAUCUUCUGAUGUGGCUAUUAUGAGAAAAAAUUUCAACACAUUGUUUGUAACAUUGAAGAAAGCUAUUAACAGUUCUAAUCAACGACACAUGAUUUAUUUCUUAGCAAGUAGUUUGUGACUUUUUUUCUAAAAUGUAAUAGGUAGUAACUUUUGAGGUUCAUGUGCUUAUAGUGUUACUUAAUUAGUGAGUUGGUGCUAGAUCAGUGUCCCAACACAGUGAUGAUAUGCCUCAUAUAAGAGCAAUAUUCUUCUCUGAGGAAAGCUGAACCACAAGACUCAAAACCAAACUUGAGUCUGAAUGAAAAUUUCAUUCUGCACGAUUUAAGUUCGUUUUGAAGUUUAACUUUUCUAUUGACUUGUCCUCUGUACAUGUUUCAAGCAAUAGCUUUGAUCUUAAAUGGAGACUAUUAAUUGGAGUGUUA